This 776-nucleotide ribosomal RNA is filed under the name uncultured Neocallimastigales. Its description in RNAcentral is "partial large subunit ribosomal RNA". It matches the Rfam family "Eukaryotic large subunit ribosomal RNA", at positions 22 to 628 of the family's 3401-position model. The record is from RNAcentral. Lineage: Eukaryota; Fungi; Neocallimastigomycota; Neocallimastigomycetes; Neocallimastigales.
GUACACGCUGUGACUAGCAUAUCAAUAAGCGGAGGAAAAGAAACUAACAAGGAUUCCCUAGUAACGGCGAGUGAAGCGGGAAGAGCUCAAAUUUGAAAUCUUAAAGGGUUUCCCUUUACGAAUUGUAGCUUAAAGAAGUGUUUUCUGUUGAGGUUUUGGUAAAAGUUCUUUGGAAUAGGACAUCAUAGAGGGUGAGAAUCCCGUAUUUGACCUUUACUUUCAACUUUGUGAUACACUUUCAAAGAGUCGGAUUGUUUGGGAAUGCAGUCCAAAAUGGGUGGUAAAUUUCAUCUAAAGCUAAAUAUUGGCGAGAGACCGAUAGCGAACAAGUACCGUGAGGGAAAGAUGAAAAGAACUUUGAAAAGAGAGUUAAGCAGUACGUGAAAUUGUCAAAAGGGAAGCGUUUGACACCAGUGUUGUUUUUCUGAAAAUCAAUUAAAGAACUGUUUAUGCUAAGUUGUUUAGACUUUAUCAGCUAACUGUUUAGUUUUGAGCUUUUCUUUAAUGCACUUUUCAGUUAACAAGUCAACAUCAAUUUCUUUUGCUGUAAAAAAGCUUGAGGAAGGUGGCUUGAGAUUCGUCUUAAGUGUUUAUAGCCUCUUGCCUAUGCAGUCGGAGAGAUUGAGGUCUGCAGCGUAGAUCCUUCGGGGCUAAAUGCAUUUGAUGCUAAGUUAUAGCAUUUUAUAGACAACUUGUUGACCUAUGAUUUAGUCUUGUAGCUUACUCGCUUAUGUUAUUUUACCUACGCUUAGGAUGUUGAGUCGUAGAGCACGCAG